UUCACCAUGUUGGCCAGGCUGGUCUCAGCUCAACACCUCAGGUGAUCUACCUGCCUUGACCUCCCAAAAUGCUGGGGUUACCGGCAUGAGCCACAGUGCCCGGCCUUAACAAAGGUUCUUAUAUGUUCCUCUAGCGUGUCUCUUGGUAUAUUUCUAGAGGUUUUUUUGUUUGUUUCUAGUAUUUGUUUUAUUUCUAGAAUUUGUUGUGAAAGAAACUUUGUGAUAGAAAGAAGACCAGCGUAACCUUGUCACCAAAAUUGAAGGAUACUAUGAGAAGAGAAAAUUAUGAGUGAAACAUGUUAUUAUCUCAAUGUUGCAGGAAAAGCAUUUGAUAAAAUAUAACAUCAUUUUUUUGAUAAACAGAAAAAUUGUAACUAGGAAUAUAAAGGAACUUAAUUAAUCGGAUAAGGGUCUCUACAGAGAAACAAUUAGCAAAUAUAAUACCUAAUGGAGAUAUGCCAAAAGCUUUAUCAAUAUCUAGAGGAAGGCAAGGAUAAUGGCUAUCACACUUAUGUUCAGCCUUGUUCUAGAGGCCUCAGCAAGUGCAAUAGGGUGAAAAAAAUACACAGAUUGGAAAGGAAUAAAUAAAAUUGUCAUUAUUGGUGAA
This is a long non-coding RNA of Cebus imitator (Panamanian white-faced capuchin), 607 nucleotides long. RefSeq lists it as uncharacterized. The record is from RefSeq and is a predicted model, not a curated record. The transcript has 2 exons. NCBI's taxonomy places the organism in Eukaryota, Metazoa, Chordata, Mammalia, Primates, Cebidae.